RNAcentral lists this long non-coding RNA (296 nucleotides) under Fukomys damarensis (Damara mole-rat). Its description in RNAcentral is "lncRNA (ENSFDAG00000025882.1)". The record is from RNAcentral. Lineage: Eukaryota; Metazoa; Chordata; Mammalia; Rodentia; Bathyergidae.
GUGCUUGAGAGGCAGGUGGUGGCACCACUGAGCUAAAUUCCCAGCUUGCCUUGACUUCUGAAGAACAGUAUCUUCUGGACAGUAAUUUCCACCAGCCAUGUUGGCAGCAAUGCUCAGCGAAAGCUCGACUUCAGCCAUAUGGCUUCAGAUGCACCAGGCAAUAGUGGCUGUCAUACCUUAGAAAACAGAAAACAGACUGCACUGGAAGUCCUGCAAAUCUGUGGCCUUUGGAACACAGGCAUGAGGAAGACAAAAACAGUCCAGUUUUCUAUAAAGGAAUAAAACGAGACUCAGAG